CAGCACCACGAUCAAGGUAGAUGCGUCCGAGGUUGGGGUGGGGACGGUCCUCUCCCAGCAGCACGGGACUCAUCCCAGGCUCCAACCGUGUGCGUACUUCUCCAAGAAACUGACUGCUGCGGAGAGGAACGUGGGUGUCUGUGAGCUACUGGCGGUGGAGACAGUGGCUUGAGGGUGCCCGGGAGCCAUUCACAGUCCUGACAGAACACCAGAACCUCGAAUACAUCAUGGCUGCAUGGCUCCUCAACUCUCGGCAGGCCAGAUGGACCCUGUUCUUCGAGCGCUUCCAGUUCACCUUGAGGGACCAACCGGGUACAAAGAAUGUCCGAGCGGACGCAGUCUUGCACCUACUCGACCGGGGGUCAGAACUGCCUAGGGAUACGCCCAUCCUGCACCCCUCCUGGAUUGUGGGUCCCGUCUCCUGUGACAUUGACACAGGCAUCCAGCAGGUCUUUCCGGCUGUAUGGACUUCCAGAGGACAUUGUCUCCGACUGCGGCCCCCAGUUCAGGUCUCGAGUGUGGACAGCCUUCAUGUCCAGGAUGGGGGUUGCAGUCAGCCUCUGCAUUAUGGACAUGUUAUCCUCGGACCUCACCACAGUUUGCAUACAGUACUAUUACAUCUGCCCCUCUUAUCUCGCUACUCUCAGUGAAACAAUGCAUACCAUAACACAUCAAUAAGCAAAAGUUUAAAUUAACACACUGUUUCCUGUGAAACUGGCCUUCUCAUUUCCUAUUAAGUCUAGGUCAAGGCUGAACAACAGUGGAGGACUACCACAUGAGGCCCUGACGCAAAGAGACUAAGCCUAUAGACAACAGUCAACACUGGACAGCCAUG
Molecule: long non-coding RNA, 835 nt
Organism: Esox lucius (northern pike)
Lineage: Eukaryota; Metazoa; Chordata; Actinopteri; Esociformes; Esocidae
Source: Ensembl